GAUGAACGCUGGCGGCGUGCCUAAUACAUGCAAGUCGAGCGAACGGACGAGAAGCUUGCGUCUCUGAUGUUAGCGGCGGACGGGUGAGUAACACGUGGAUAACCUACCUAUAAGACUGGGAUAACUUCGGGAAACCGGAGCUAAUACCGGAUAAUAUUUUGAACCGCAUGGUUCAAAAGUGAAAGACGGUCUUGCUGUCACUUAUAGAUGGAUCCGCGCUGCAUUAGCUAGUUGGUAAGGUAACGGCUUACCAAGGCAACGAUGCAUAGCCGACCUGAGAGGGUGAUCGGCCACACUGGAACUGAGACACGGUCCAGACUCCUACGGGAGGCAGCAGUAGGGAAUCUUCCGCAAUGGGCGAAAGCCUGACGGAGCAACGCCGCGUGAGUGAUGAAGGUCUUCGGAUCGUAAAACUCUGUUAUUAGGGAAGAACAUAUGUGUAAGUAACUGUGCACAUCUUGACGGUACCUAAUCAGAAAGCCACGGCUAACUACGUG
Molecule: ribosomal RNA, 497 nt
Filed under: uncultured bacterium
Lineage: Bacteria
Description: partial 16S ribosomal RNA
Rfam family: Bacterial small subunit ribosomal RNA
Source: RNAcentral